GAAAUGCGAUAAUUAAUGUGAAUUGCAGAAUUCAGUGAAUCAUCGAGUCUUUGAACGCACAUUGCGCCCCCUGGUAAUCCGGGGGGCAUGCCUGUCCGAGCGUCAUUGCUGCCCUCAAGCACGGCUUGUGUGUUGGGCUUCCGUCCCUGGCAACGGGGACGGGCCCAAAAGGCAGUGGCGGCACCAUGUCUGGUCCUCGAGCGUAUGGGGCUUUGUCACCCGCUCCCGUAGGUCCAGCUGGCAGCUAGCCUCGCAACCAAUCUUUUUAACCAGGUUGACCUCGGAUCAGGUAGGGAUACCCGCUGAACUUAAGC
RNAcentral lists this unclassified non-coding RNA (314 nucleotides) under plant metagenome. RNAcentral's name for it is "partial contains 5.8S ribosomal RNA, internal transcribed spacer 2, and large subunit ribosomal RNA". The stretch from base 1 to 105 matches the Rfam family "5.8S ribosomal RNA", at positions 50 to 154 of the family's 154-position model. The record is from RNAcentral.